ACUCCUACGGGAGGCAGCAGUGGGGAAUCUUAGACAAUGGGGGCAACCCUGAUCUAGCCAUGCCGCGUGUGUGACGAAGGCCCUAGGGUCGUAAAGCACUUUCGCCGGGGAAGAUAAUGACGGGUACCCGGUAAAGAAGUCCCCGGCUAACUCCGUGCCAGCAGCCGCGGUAAUACGGAGGGGACUAGCGUUGUUCGGAAUUACUGGGCGUAAAGCGCGCGUAGGCGGACCAUUAAGUCAGGGGUGAAAUCCCGGGGCUCAACCCCGAACUGCCCUUGAUACUGGUGGCCUGGA
RNAcentral lists this ribosomal RNA (294 nucleotides) under uncultured bacterium. RNAcentral describes it as "partial 16S ribosomal RNA". It matches the Rfam family "Bacterial small subunit ribosomal RNA", at positions 335 to 645 of the family's 1533-position model. The record is from RNAcentral.